CACGUAGGGUGCGAGCGUUGUCCGGAAUUAUUGGGCGUAAAGAGCUCGUAGGCGGUGUGUCGCGUCGGCCGUGAAAACCUGCAGCUUAACUGUGGGCGUGCGGUCGAUACGGGCAUCACUGGAGUUCGGCAGGGGAGACUGGAAUUCCUGGUGUAGCGGUGAAACGCGCAGAUAUCAGGAGGAACACCGGUGGCGAAGGCGGGUCUCUGGGCCGAUACUGACGCUGAGGAGCGAAAGCGUGGGGAGCGAACAGG
This 254-nucleotide ribosomal RNA is filed under the name uncultured bacterium. RNAcentral's name for it is "partial 16S ribosomal RNA". It matches the Rfam family "Bacterial small subunit ribosomal RNA", at positions 524 to 776 of the family's 1533-position model. The record is from RNAcentral.